Molecule: ribosomal RNA, 230 nt
Filed under: uncultured bacterium
Lineage: Bacteria
Description: partial 16S ribosomal RNA
Rfam family: Bacterial small subunit ribosomal RNA
Source: RNAcentral
UGAGCAAUCUGCCCUUCUCAUCGGAAUAAGCGUUGGAAACGACGUCUAAUGCCGAAUACGACCUCCUUUCGCAUGAUCGGAGGUGGAAAGCUCCGGCGGAGAAGGAUGAGCUCGCGGCCUAUCAGCUAGUUGGUGUGGGUAAUGGCCCACCAAGGCGACGACGGGUAGCCGGCCUGAGAGGAUGGCCAGCCACAUUGGGACUGAGACACGGCCCAGACCUCUACGGGAGG